This 23-nucleotide small nuclear RNA is filed under the name Arabidopsis thaliana (thale cress). Its description in RNAcentral is "snRNA_09139". Lineage: Eukaryota; Viridiplantae; Streptophyta; Magnoliopsida; Brassicales; Brassicaceae. The record is from RNAcentral.
AAGAAAACAUAGCGUUUGUACAA